This 340-nucleotide unclassified non-coding RNA is filed under the name uncultured fungus. RNAcentral's name for it is "partial contains 5.8S ribosomal RNA, internal transcribed spacer 2, and large subunit ribosomal RNA". Lineage: Eukaryota; Fungi. The record is from RNAcentral.
AACGCAUCUUGCACCCUUUGGUAUUCCUUAGGGCAUGUCUGUCUGAGUGUCGUUUAAAUCUCAAACCCGCCCUUUGGCUUUCGAGCUUUGGGGUGGCUGCUUCGGCGGCUAGGUUUGGUUCGUGAGCGUCUGUCGGCUUUGUUCGGCUCGCUUCAAAAUCGUAGGCGACAUCUGGCGGCUGCACAGUAGCCCCUUUCACUUGCUGGCCUGAUAGUAAAAUUGAACGGCUGGCUCGGGCGAUUGGAGCGAAAGCGGCCUCUGCCUCUCUCGCUCGGAGAACACAGCUUUGAAAUCAAAUCUCUUUGACCUCAGAUCAGGCAGGAUUACCCGCUGAACUUAA